This 292-nucleotide ribosomal RNA is filed under the name uncultured bacterium. Its description in RNAcentral is "partial 16S ribosomal RNA". The record is from RNAcentral.
GGACUACUGGGGUUUCUAAUCCUGUUUGCUCCCCACGCUUUCGCGUCUCAGCGUCAGUUGCGUUCCAGAGAGCCGCCUUCGCCACGGGUGUUCUUCCUGAUAUCUGCGCAUUUCACCGCUACACCAGGAAUUCCACUCUCCUCUCCCGCACUCUAGCCCGCCAGUUUCUCACGACCGCUCGGGGUUGAGCCCCGAGAUUUCACGCAAGACUUAGCGAGCCGCCUACACGCUCUUUACGCCCAAUGAUUCCGGACAACGCUCGGUCCCUACGUAUUACCGCGGCUGCUGGCAC